This 449-nucleotide long non-coding RNA is filed under the name Rattus norvegicus (Norway rat). RNAcentral's name for it is "long non-coding RNA NONRATT004180". The record is from RNAcentral. Lineage: Eukaryota; Metazoa; Chordata; Mammalia; Rodentia; Muridae.
GAAACUAUUAACACGCAGCUCUGAGAGCGUGAUUCAGAGUUUGAGCUGCUGGUGCGGCAGUUUGCGUGAUGCCCAAGGCUAAGAGAAAGACUCAGAGGCAGAAGUUCGGUUACAACGUCAACCAAAAGUGUCUGAACCGGAAUGCUCGUGGGAAGGCAGCGCCACAGAUCCAGUGCUCCCACAUCCGACAUGCCUGGGACCACACCAAAUCUGUGCAGCAGAACCUGGCGGAGAUGGGGUUGGCCGUGGACCCCAACGAGGCGGUUCCCCUCCGUAAGAGGAAGGUAAAGGCCAUGGAGGUAGACUCGGAGGAGAGACCCAAGGACCUCGUUCGGAAGCCCUAUUGGUAAAUGACCUAGAGGCAGAAGCCAGCCUCCCAGGGAAGAAAGGAAAUACCUUGUCUCUGGACCUCUCAAUUAUGUUCAUUACAUGGUGGAGAAUCACAGGGA